This 75-nucleotide transfer RNA is filed under the name Sulfuricurvum sp. RNAcentral's name for it is "tRNA-Gln". It matches the Rfam family "tRNA". Rfam says of the family: Transfer RNA (tRNA) molecules are approximately 80 nucleotides in length. Their secondary structure includes four short double-helical elements and three loops (D, anti-codon, and T loops). Lineage: Bacteria; Pseudomonadati; Campylobacterota; Epsilonproteobacteria; Campylobacterales; Sulfurimonadaceae. The record is from RNAcentral. RNAcentral also lists the same sequence under 1 other name.
UGGGGUGUCGCCAAGCGGUAAGGCCUCGGUUUUUGGUACCGAUAUUCAGGGGUUCGAAUCCCUUCACCCCAUCCA